RNAcentral lists this ribosomal RNA (545 nucleotides) under uncultured bacterium. RNAcentral's name for it is "partial 16S ribosomal RNA". It matches the Rfam family "Bacterial small subunit ribosomal RNA", at positions 355 to 895 of the family's 1533-position model. The record is from RNAcentral.
UGGGGAAUUUUGGACAAUGGGCGAAANCCUGAUCCAGCAAUGCCGCGUGUGUGAAGAAGGCCUUCGGGUUGUAAAGCACUUUUGUCCGGAAAGAAAUCCUUGGCUCUAAUACAGUCGGGGGAUGACGGUACCGGAAGAAUAAGCACCGGCUAACUACGUGCCAGCAGCCGCGGUAAUACGUAGGGUGCAAGCGUUAAUCGGAAUUACUGGGCGUAAAGCGUGCGCAGGCGGUUUGCUAAGACCGAUGUGAAAUCCCCGGGCUCAACCUGGGAACUGCAUUGGUGACUGGCAGGCUAGAGUAUGGCAGAGGGGGGUAGAAUUCCACGUGUAGCAGUGAAAUGCGUAGAGAUGUGGAGGAAUACCGAUGGCGAAGGCAGCCCCCUGGGCCAAUACUGACGCUCAUGCACGAAAGCGUGGGGAGCAAACAGGAUUAGUACCCUGGUAGUCCACGCCCUAAACGAUGUCAACUAGUUGUUGGGGAUUCAUUCCUUAGUAACGUAGCUAACGCGUGAAGUUGACCGCCUGGGGAGUACGGUCGCAAGAUU